GCGCAUUGAAUACCGAAUUAGGGUUCCUAUUUCUUCCGCGAACAGCCAGUAGCAUGUGGUGUGACACCUCGCACCCUUCUUCCUCUUUUCUUCUCGAUCGAUCUCUGGACAGCGUUACAGCUUGUAUAUUUGGUAUUUAUCAUGAUUUGCUUCUCUCACUUCUUCUGUGCUCAUGGAUUAGGCUAAAUUCCGCGGCGGCGCUAGAUUGUCGUCCCCUUCAUCAUGGCGGAUUGGCUGACCAUAAUCCUUUAUUGGAAGAAAACUGUGCAUAGAAGUAACUCCUGGCUCAAAAAUUGCUUUUAUUUCUGAGGAGUUAUGCAUUGGAUGUCAUAUUUGUGUUAAGAAAUGCCCAUUUGAGGCGAUUCAGAUUAUCAAUCAUUCAAUCUACCAAAGGAUUUAGAUAAAGAUACAACCUACCGGUAUGGUCCAAAUAUAUUUAAAUUGCACAGGUUGCCAGUUCCAAGACCUGGACGGGUUCUGGGUCUGGUUGGGACAAAUGGUAUUGGAAAGUCAACUGCACUUAAAGUGUUGGCUGGGAAGUUGAAGCCUAACUUGAGACGAUUCAAUAACCCUCCUGAUUGGCAGGAAAUAUUGAUGUAUAUCCGUGGCUCUGAGCUUCAGAAUUAGUUUACUCGUAUACUGGAAGACAAUCUAAAGGUUGUACUGGAUCUACAUAGCCUCUGCAACCUAAAACUGAACCAUGAUUAUUCACCAGGCAAAGCUAAAGGAAAGUGAAGCUGCUGCAAUCUACAAAGGAAUAUGUUGGUGGCCAGAUGCAGACAAGCCAUAGGAGUGCUAAAAGGGAGAGAGAGAGAGAGAGAGAGAGGACUGCCCAUGGCUGCCUCUAUUCAAUCCCAAUAAUCCAAUGUCAGCUUACAAAUGCUGCUUCUACUGAAGAUUGUGACUAAUUGUUCUAAAUUGUUUUGGUAUAAAUUGCCACUGAUUGUUCUAAA
Molecule: non-coding RNA, 953 nt
Organism: Musa acuminata subsp. malaccensis (wild Malaysian banana)
Lineage: Eukaryota; Viridiplantae; Streptophyta; Magnoliopsida; Zingiberales; Musaceae
Source: RefSeq, a predicted model, not a curated record